This 343-nucleotide unclassified non-coding RNA is filed under the name uncultured fungus. RNAcentral's name for it is "partial contains small subunit ribosomal RNA, internal transcribed spacer 1, and 5.8S ribosomal RNA". The stretch from base 1 to 138 matches the Rfam family "Eukaryotic small subunit ribosomal RNA", at positions 1759 to 1831 of the family's 1831-position model. The record is from RNAcentral. Lineage: Eukaryota; Fungi.
GCAAACUUGGUCAUUUAGAGGAAGUAAAAGUCGUAACAAGGUUUCCGUAGGUAAGUUAUAAACAAUUAUCGCCACUUUUCAAUGAGAUUGUGUUCCAUGCUAACAGUCUUUUCAGGUGAACCUGCGGAGGGAUCAUUACUGAGUGAGGGCCCUUGGUCCGACCUCCAACCCCUUGUAAUCUAUACUUUGUUGCCUCGGGGGUUCCCCGACCGAAUAUUCGGUUCUGGGGCCCCCGGUGGACCAUUUCAAAACUCCGCGUCUUUGCGUCGGUCGUGAUUGACAAAUUGAAAUCAAAACUUUCAACAACGGAUCUCUUGGUUCUGGCAUCGAUGAAGAACGCAGC